This 119-nucleotide ribosomal RNA is filed under the name Pteropus alecto (black flying fox). Lineage: Eukaryota; Metazoa; Chordata; Mammalia; Chiroptera; Pteropodidae. The record is from RNAcentral.
GUCUACGGCCAUGCCACCCUGAACAAGCCUGAUCCCGUCUGAUCUUGGAAGCUAAGCAGGGUCGAACCUGGUUAGUACUUGGAUGGGAGACCACUUAGGAAGACCAGGUGCUGUAAGAG